Molecule: ribosomal RNA, 423 nt
Filed under: uncultured bacterium
Lineage: Bacteria
Description: partial 16S ribosomal RNA
Rfam family: Bacterial small subunit ribosomal RNA
Source: RNAcentral
AAUCUUCCGCAAUGGACGCAAGUCUGACGGAGCAACGCCGCGUGAGUGAUGAAGGUUUUCGGAUCGUAAAACUCUGUUGUUAGGGAAGAACAAGUACCGUUCGAAUAGGUCGGUACCUUGACGGUACCAAACCAGAAAGCCACGGCUAACUACUGUUCAGCAGCCGCCGGAAUACGUAGGUGGCAAGCGUUACCCGGAAUUUUUGGGCGUAAAGCGCGCGCAGGCGGUUUCUUAAGUCUGAUGUGAAAGCCCACGGCUCAACCGUGGAGGGUCAUUGGAAACUGGGGAACUUGAGUGCAGAAGAGGAGAGUGGAAUUCCAUGUGUAGCGGUGAAAUGCGUAGAGAUAUGGAGGAACACCAGUGGCGAAGGCGACUCUCUGGUCUGCAACUGACGCUGAGGCGCGAAAGCGUGGGGAGCAAACA